UGACGGUGGUGGUGCCGGGCGCCCUCGGUGCUGUGCUUCUUGUGAUGACGGUGGUGGUGACCGUCGUGGUGGUGGUGGUGGUGGUGGUGACGGUGGUCACCGUGGUCGUGGUCGUGGUCGUCCAGGUGCCAGCCGUGGCGGUCGGGCUGGACCCAUCGGCCGUCGCGGGCGCGGACCAUGCCCUUGUUCUCGUCCUGGCGCCAGCACGGGGGCACGCCGUGGUGGUCCUUGAGGAAGUCGCACGCCUUGUUCACCAGCGCCGGGUCGCGCCCGCUCGCCAGCACGAACCGCUCACCGCGUCCGUGGUACCUGCGCACGUCAAAAAAAAAAACACAC
Molecule: unclassified non-coding RNA, 336 nt
Filed under: Zea mays
Lineage: Eukaryota; Viridiplantae; Streptophyta; Magnoliopsida; Poales; Poaceae
Description: misc RNA Zm00001eb350810
Source: RNAcentral